Molecule: ribosomal RNA, 253 nt
Filed under: uncultured bacterium
Lineage: Bacteria
Description: partial 16S ribosomal RNA
Rfam family: Bacterial small subunit ribosomal RNA
Source: RNAcentral
UACGGAGGGUGCAAGCGUUGUUCGGAAUUAUUGGGCGUAAAGGGUGCGUAGGCGGUUCCGCAAGUCCUGUGUGAAAUCUUCGGGCUCAACUCGAAGUCUGCACGGGAAACUGCGGGGCUUGAGUGUGGGAGAGGUGAGUGGAAUUCCUGGUGUAGCGGUGAAAUGCGUAGAGAUGUGGAGGAACACCGGUGGCGAAGGCGGGUCUCUGGGCAAUUCCUGACGCUGAGGCGCGAAAGCGUGGGGAGCAAACGGG